This 824-nucleotide ribosomal RNA is filed under the name uncultured bacterium. RNAcentral describes it as "bacterial SSU rRNA". It matches the Rfam family "Bacterial small subunit ribosomal RNA", at positions 60 to 900 of the family's 1533-position model. The record is from RNAcentral.
AGUCGAUGAUGGGAGCUAGCUUGCUAGAAGAAGUCAUGGCGGACGGGUGAGUAACGUGUAAAGAACUUACCAUAUAGACUGGGAUAACAGAGGGAAACUUCUGAUAAUACUGGAUAAGUUAGAAGUAGCAUUACUAAGUAAUGAAAGGUAGCAAUACGCUAUAUGAGAGCUUUGCAUCCUAUUAGCUAGUUGGUGGGGUAAAAGCCUACCAAGGCGAUGAUAGGUAGCCGGCCUGAGAGGGUGGACGGCCACAAGGGGACUGAGAUACGGCCCUUACUCCUACGGGAGGCAGCAGUGGGGAAUAUUGGACAAUGGAGGCAACUCUGAUCCAGCAAUUCUGUGUGUGUGAAGAAGGUUUUAGGACUGUAAAACACUUUUAGUAGGGAAGAAAGAAAUGACGGUACCUACAGAAGAAGCGACGGCUAAAUACGUGCCAGCGGCCGCGGUAAUACGUAUGUCGCGAGCGUUAUCCGGAAUUAUUGGGCUUAAAGGGCAUCUAGGCGGUUAAACAAGUUGAAGGUGAAAACCUGUGGCUCAACCAUAGGCUUGCCUACAAAACUGUAUAACUAGAGUACUGGAAAGGUGGGUGGAACUACACGAGUAGAGGUGAAAUUCGUAGAUAUGUGUAGGAAUGCCGAUGAUGAAGAUAACUCACUGGACAGCAACUGACGCUGAAGUGCGAAAGCUAGGGGAGCAAACAGGAUUAGAUACCCUGGUAGUCCUAGCUGUAAACGAUGAUCACUGGGUGUGGGGAUUCGAAGUCUCUGUGCCGAAGCAAAAGCGAUAAGUGAUCCGCCUGGGGAGUACGUUCGCAAGAAUGAAAC